Molecule: ribosomal RNA, 253 nt
Filed under: uncultured bacterium
Lineage: Bacteria
Description: partial 16S ribosomal RNA
Rfam family: Bacterial small subunit ribosomal RNA
Source: RNAcentral
UACGGAGGGUGCGAGCGUUGUCCGGAAUCACUGGGCGUAAAGGGCGCGUAGGCGGCCGGAGAAGUCGGUGGUGAAAGCUCGGGGCUCAACUCCGAGUCGGCCACCGAUACUGUUCGGCUCGAGUUUGGUAGAGGCAGAUGGAAUUCCGGGUGUAGCGGUGGAAUGCGUAGAGAUCCGGAAGAACACCGGUGGCGAAGGCGGUCUGCUGGGCCAAGACUGACGCUGAGGCGCGACAGCGUGGGGAGCGAACAGG